This 440-nucleotide ribosomal RNA is filed under the name uncultured bacterium. RNAcentral describes it as "bacterial SSU rRNA". It matches the Rfam family "Bacterial small subunit ribosomal RNA", at positions 338 to 795 of the family's 1533-position model. The record is from RNAcentral.
CCUACGGGAGGCAGCAGUGAGGAAUAUUGCCCAAUGGGGGAAACCCUGAGGCAGCAACGCCGCGUGGAUGAAGAAGGCCUUCGGGUUGUAAAAUCCUUUUAACAGGGAAGAUAGUGACGGUACCUGAAGAAUAAGUCCCGGCUAACUACGUGCCAGCAGCCGCGGUAAAACGUAGGGGACAAGCGUUAUCCGGAUUUAUUGGGCGUAAAGCGCACGUAGGCGGCAUGGUAAGUUGGACGUGAAAGCUCCCGGCUUAACUGGGAGAGGUCGGACAAGACUGCGAUGCUAGAGGCUGGAAGAGGAGCGUGGAAUUCCCGGUGUAGUGGUGGAAUGCGUAGAUAUCGGGAGGAACACCAGUGGCGAAAGCGACGCUCUAGUUCAGCACUGACGCUCAUGUGCGAAAGCGUGGGGAGCGAACGGGAUUAGAUACCCUUGUAGUC